UACAGAGACUGCAAGCGUUAUUCGGAUUCACUGGGCGUAAAGGGUGCGCAGGCGGUUGGGUGUGUCAGAUGUGAAAUCCCCGGGCUCAACCCGGGAACUGCGUCCGAUACUGGAAGGCUUGAAUCCGGGAGAGGGAUGCGGAAUUCCAGGUGUAGCGGUGAAAUGCGUAGAUAUCUGGAGGAACACCGGUGGCGAAGGCGGCAUCCUGGACCGGCAUUGACGCUGAGGCGCGAAAGCCAGGGGAGCAAACGGG
RNAcentral lists this ribosomal RNA (253 nucleotides) under uncultured prokaryote. Its description in RNAcentral is "partial 16S ribosomal RNA". It matches the Rfam family "Bacterial small subunit ribosomal RNA", at positions 524 to 776 of the family's 1533-position model. The record is from RNAcentral.